This 66-nucleotide transfer RNA is filed under the name Ixodes barkeri. RNAcentral's name for it is "tRNA-Leu". Lineage: Eukaryota; Metazoa; Arthropoda; Arachnida; Ixodida; Ixodidae. The record is from RNAcentral.
AUUAAAGUGGCAGAAGGUUUUUUAAUGCGAGGAAUUUAAGCUUCCUAUAUGGGGUACCCUUUAAUA